AGUGAACGCUGGCGGUAGGCCUAACACAUGCAAGUCGAACGGCAGCACAGUAAGAGCUUGCUCUUACGGGUGGCGAGUGGCGGACGGGUGAGGAAUACAUCGGAAUCUACUUUUUCGUGGGGGAUAACGUAGGGAAACUUACGCUAAUACCGCAUACGACCUACGGGUGAAAGCAGGGGAUCUUCGGACCUUGCGCGAUUGAAUGAGCCGAUGUCGGAUUAGCUAGUUGGCGGGGUAAAGGCCCACCAAGGCGACGAUCCGUAGCUGGUCUGAGAGGAUGAUCAGCAACACUGGAACUGAGACACGGUCCAGACUCCUACGGGAGGCAGCAGUGGGGAAUAUUGGACAAUGGGCGAAAGCCUGAUCCAGCCAUACCGCGUGGGUGAAGAAGGCCUUCGGGUUGUAAAGCCCUUUUGUUGGGAAAGAAAAGAAGCAGGUUAAUACCCCGCUGUUCUGACGGUACACAAAGAAUAAGCACCGGCUAACUUCGU
This 491-nucleotide ribosomal RNA is filed under the name uncultured bacterium. RNAcentral describes it as "partial 16S ribosomal RNA". It matches the Rfam family "Bacterial small subunit ribosomal RNA", at positions 29 to 506 of the family's 1533-position model. The record is from RNAcentral.